UUCUUCCAUCUUCUGAAUCUCAUCGAUUUGAUUCACGACAUGCAUGUCUCUUCCUGAUUCUCUCCCUUCGUCUUCUUUUUAUUCUCAUGUGACCCGCGAAGAAACCGGGUUUCACGCUUACCAUGGAAUCUUUCCGAGUACGAUUACCGCCAUUGGAGCGUGUUUGCAUAUGAGAACGUGAGGGAUAGUUCGACUUCCGGAGACACUUGGUCUUGCGUUGUCGUCGUCGCUACCUUCUAUAACUUUGCCAGAUCCGAUUUGAAGAAGGUGCAACAAAGUUUAAAUGAUUUGAUCGCUUUGGUUGAUGAAGUUUGUCCUGCUGAUUUCUUGAGAUUCUCAUAAUCUCCGCAUGCAAGAAAUGGAGAAGAGAUCAGAGUUAUUGGAUCAGUCUUAUAUGGUUCUCCGCAUGAUCCAAGUAUCUAUGACGUAAUCUGUUUGGAAACAUCUAAAGCUUAAUCAAGAUCCGAAUAGUGUUAUACAUAGUUAAUAAAAUCCGUAUAAGGUCCGCGUCUUUUGAUUAAUAUAUUUACCAAUUUGUCCCUCUGUUUUUUUUUCCUUUUUCUUCGUUUUUGUAAAUCGUAAAGGCAUGUAAUGGAAUACUUGUUUUGUUUAU
Molecule: long non-coding RNA, 613 nt
Organism: Camelina sativa (false flax)
Lineage: Eukaryota; Viridiplantae; Streptophyta; Magnoliopsida; Brassicales; Brassicaceae
Source: RefSeq, a predicted model, not a curated record